GCCCGGGUGGCUCAGUUGGUUGAGCAUCUGACUUCAGCUCAGGUCAUGAUCUCACAGUUUUGUGGGUUCGAGCCCCACAUCAGGCU
RNAcentral lists this transfer RNA (86 nucleotides) under Felis catus (domestic cat). It matches the Rfam family "tRNA". Rfam says of the family: Transfer RNA (tRNA) molecules are approximately 80 nucleotides in length. Their secondary structure includes four short double-helical elements and three loops (D, anti-codon, and T loops). The record is from Rfam by way of RNAcentral. Lineage: Eukaryota; Metazoa; Chordata; Mammalia; Carnivora; Felidae.